Molecule: ribosomal RNA, 253 nt
Filed under: uncultured bacterium
Lineage: Bacteria
Description: partial 16S ribosomal RNA
Rfam family: Bacterial small subunit ribosomal RNA
Source: RNAcentral
UACGGAGGGGGCGAGCGUUAUUCGGAAUCAUUGGGCGUAAAGCGCGUGUAGGCGGCUCGGUAAGUCCGCUCUGAAAGUCCAGGGCUCAACCCUGGGAUGCGGGUGGAUACUGCCGGGCUCGAGUCCGGAAGAGGCGAGUGGAAUUCCCGGUGUAGCGGUGAAAUGCGCAGAUAUCGGGAGGAACACCAAUGGCGAAGGCAGCUCGCUGGGACGUGACUGACGCUGAGACGCGAAAGCGUGGGGAGCAAACAGG